GACGAACGCUGGCGGCGUGCUUAACACAUGCAAGUCGAACGGAAAGGCCCUGCUUUUGUGGGGUGCUCGAGUGGCGAACGGGUGAGUAACACGUGAGUAACCUGCCCUUGACUUUGGGAUAACUUCAGGAAACUGGGGCUAAUACCGGAUAGGAGCUCCUGCUGCAUGGUGGGGGUUGGAAAGUUUCGGCGGUUGGGGAUGGACUCGCGGCUUAUCAGCUUGUAGGUGGGGUAGUGGCUUACCAAGGCUUUGACGGGUAGCCGGCCUGAGAGGGUGACCGGCCACAUUGGGACUGAGAUACGGCCCAGACUCCUACGGGAGGCAGCAGUGGGGAAUAUUGCACAAUGGGCGGAAGCCUGAUGCAGCAACGCCGUGUGCGGGAUGACGGCCUUCGGGUUGUAAACCGCUUUCGCCUGUGACGAAGCGUGAGUGACGGUAAUGGGUAAAGAAGCACCGGCUAACUACGUG
RNAcentral lists this ribosomal RNA (468 nucleotides) under uncultured bacterium. RNAcentral's name for it is "partial 16S ribosomal RNA". It matches the Rfam family "Bacterial small subunit ribosomal RNA", at positions 28 to 507 of the family's 1533-position model. The record is from RNAcentral.